RNAcentral lists this ribosomal RNA (2091 nucleotides) under Lachnospiraceae bacterium VE202-12. Its description in RNAcentral is "bacterial LSU rRNA". It matches the Rfam family "Bacterial large subunit ribosomal RNA", at positions 697 to 2817 of the family's 2925-position model. The record is from RNAcentral. Lineage: Bacteria; Bacillati; Bacillota; Clostridia; Lachnospirales; Lachnospiraceae.
AAGUCAGUAUCUGCAGACCCGAAACCGGGUGAUCUAUCCAUGUCCAGGUUGAAGUUGCCGUAAAAGGCAAUGGAGGACCGAACGCACAUCCGUUGAAAAGGGUGGCGAUGAGGUGUGGAUAGGGGAGAAAUUCCAAUCGAACCCGGAGAUAGCUGGUUCUCCUCGAAAUAGCUUUAGGGCUAGCCUCGUAUUAAUUCCAUGGAGGUAGAGCACUGAAUUUCCUAGGGGGCGUCAAAGUCUACCGAAGAAUAUCAAACUCCGAAUGCCAUAGGAAUGAUGUACGGGAGUCAGACUGCACGAGAUAAGUUGGGCAGUCAAAAGGGAAAGAGCCCAGACCUACAGCUAAGGUCCCAAAGUACGUGUUAAGUGGAAAAGGAUGUGGGAUUUCAGAGACAACUAGGAUGUUGGCUUAGAAGCAGCCAUACAUUCAAAGAGUGCGUAAUAGCUCACUAGUCGAGAGGUCCUGCGCCGAAAAUGUCCGGGGCUGAAACACGACACCGAAGCUUAGGAAUGUGAGUAAUCACGUUGGUAGAGGAGCAUUCUUACCGGGAAGAAGCAGUAUUGUAAGGUAUUGUGGACUGGUAAGAAGAGAGAAUGCCGGAAUGAGUAGCGAGAUGGAGGUGAGAAUCCUCCAGGCCGAAUAUCUAAGGUUUCCAGGGUAAAGCUGAUCUGCCUGGGUAAGUCGGGGCCUAAGGCGAGGUCGAAAGACGUAGCCGAUGGACAACAGGUUGAGAUUCCUGUACUAUCAUAUGACAGAACUGUGGGGACACAGAGGGAAAGCCUGAGCCGGGAAAGGGAAACCCGGUGCAAGCGAAGUAGGAGCUGGACUGGCAAAUCCGUCCAGCAAUCCGAAGGCGUGACGCGUACCGAAUUCAAGUAGGGAAGCAGGUGAGCCAGCUGUCGAGAAAAGCCGCUAUUGUUCAUAUGAUACCCGUACCGUAAACCGACACAGGUGGAUGAGGAGAGAAUCCUAAGGCCGGCGGGAGAAGCAUUGUUAAGGAACUCGGCAAAAUGACCCCGUAACUUCGGGAGAAGGGGUGCCUCUGAAAGGAGGCCGCAGAGAAUAGGCUCAAGCAACUGUUUAGCAAAAACACAGGUCUAUGCGAAACCGAAAGGUGAGGUAUAUGGCUGACGCCUGCCCGGUGCUGGAAGGUUAAGAGGAGGAGUCAGGCAACGAAGCUCCGAAUUUAAGCCCCAGUAAACGGCGGCCGUAACUAUAACGGUCCUAAGGUAGCGAAAUUCCUUGUCGGGUAAGUUCCGACCCGCACGAAAGGCGUAAUGAUUUGAGCGCUGUCUCGACAAUGCACCCGGUGAAAUUGAAGUACCAGUGAAGAUGCUGGUUACCUGCGCCAGGACGGAAAGACCCCAUGGAGCUUUACUCCAGCUUGAUACUGGGAUUCGAUGCUGUAUGUACAGGAUAGGUGGGAGACUGAGAAGUGAUUACGCCAGUAAUCAUGGAGUCACUGUUGGGAUACCACUCUUGCAGCAUUGGGUUUCUAACCUGCGCCCGUGACCCGGGCGGGGGACAAUGUCUGGCGGGGAGUUUGACUGGGGCGGUCGCCUCCGAAAGGGUAUCGGAGGCGCUCAAAGGUUCCCUCAGGAUGGUUGGAAACCAUCCGAAGAGUGCAAAGGCAUAAGGGAGCUUGACUGUGACACCGACGGGUGGAGCAGGUACGAAAGUAGGACUUAGUGAUCCGGUGGUAUUAAGUGGGAAUGCCAUCGCUCAACGGAUAAAAGCUACCCUGGGGAUAACAGGCUUAUCACUCCCAAGAGUUCACAUCGACGGAGUGGUUUGGCACCUCGAUGUCGGCUCAUCGCAUCCUGGGGCUGUAGCAGGUCCCAAGGGUUGGGCUGUUCGCCCAUUAAAGCGGUACGCGAGCUGGGUUCAGAACGUCGUGAGACAGUUCGGUCCCUAUCCGGCGCAGGCGGAGGAUAUUUGAGAGGAGCUGUCCUUAGUACGAGAGGACCGGGAUGGACGGACCGCUGGUGAAUCUGUUGGCUACCAAAGCCAUGGCAGAGUAGCCAAGUCCGGCAGGGAUAAACGCUGAAGGCAUCUAAGCGUGAAGCCCCCCUCAAGAUGAGAUAUCCCAA